Molecule: ribosomal RNA, 683 nt
Filed under: Methylobacterium sp. ZQ(2010)
Lineage: Bacteria; Pseudomonadati; Pseudomonadota; Alphaproteobacteria; Hyphomicrobiales; Methylobacteriaceae
Description: bacterial SSU rRNA
Rfam family: Bacterial small subunit ribosomal RNA
Source: RNAcentral
ACCAGGCUUACACAUGUCAAGUCGAGCGGGCACUUUCGGGUUGUCAGCGGCGGACGGGUGAGUAACGCGUGGGAACGUGCCUUCUGGUUCGGAAUAACUCAGGGAAACUUGAGCUAAUACCGGAUACGCCCUUUUGGGGAAAGGUUUACUGCCGGAAGAUCGGCCCGCGUCUGAUUAGCUAGUUGGUGGGGUAACGGCCUACCAAGGGCGACGAUCAGUAGCUGGUCUGAGAGGAUGAUCAGCCACACUGGGACUGAGACACGGCCCAGACUCCUACGGGAGGCAGCAGUGGGGAAUAUUGGACAAUGGGGGCAACCCUGAUCCAGCCAUGCCGCGUGAGUGAUGAAGGCCUUAGGGUUGUAAAGCUCUUUUAUCCGGGACGAUAAUGACGGUACCGGAGGAAUAAGCCCCGGCUAACUUCGUGCCAGCAGCCGCGGUAAUACGAAGGGGGCUAGCGUUGCUCGGAAUCACUGGGCGUAAAGGGCGCGUAGGCGGUCUUUUAAGUCGGGGGUGAAAGCCUGUGGCUCAACCACAGAAUUGCCUUCGAUACUGGGAGACUUGAGUUCGGAAGAGGUUGGUGGAACUGCGAGUGUAGAGGUGAAAUUCGUAGAUAUUCGCAAGAACACCGGUGGCGAAGCGGCCAACUGGUCCGACACUGACGCUGAGGCGCGAAAGCGUGGGGA